AUGCACGCUGGCGGCGUGCCUAAUACAUGCAAGUCGAGCGAACGGACGAGAAGCUUGCUUCUCUGAUGUUAGCGGCGGACGGGUGAGUAACACGUGGAUAACCUACCUAUAAGGCUGGGAUAACUUCGGGAAACCGGAGCUAAUACCGGAUGGUAUUUUGAACCGCAUGGUUCAAAAGUGAAAGACGGUCUUGCUGUCACUUAUAGAUGGAUCCGCGCUGCAUUAGCUAGUUGGUAAGGUAACGGCUUACCAAGGCAACGAUGCAUAGCCGACCUGAGAGGGUGAUCGGCCACACUGGAACUGAGACACGGUCCAGACUCCUACGGGAGGCAGCAGUAGGGAAUCUUCCGCAAUGGGCGAAAGCCUGACGGAGCAACGCCGCGUGAGUGAUGAAGGUCUUCGGAUCGUAAAACUCUGUUAUUAGGGAAGAACAUAUGUGUAAGUAACUGUGCACAUCUUGACGGUACCUAAUCAGAAAGCCACGGCUAACUACGUG
RNAcentral lists this ribosomal RNA (496 nucleotides) under uncultured bacterium. RNAcentral describes it as "partial 16S ribosomal RNA". It matches the Rfam family "Bacterial small subunit ribosomal RNA", at positions 29 to 507 of the family's 1533-position model. The record is from RNAcentral.